UUUCCGUAGGUGAACCUGCGGAAGGAUCAUUACCUUUCAAUGCAGCAGAAUGGGGAUGGUUGAGUUUCUCGCCUCUCUGUUCUGCCUGUAUUCUACCCUUGUUUGUCAUAUACUAUUAUUUCCUCGGCAGGCUUGCUUGCCGAGUGAAACCAAUUAUAACCUAUUUAAUUUUCAAUCAGCGUCUGAACAAAAUUAAUAAUUACAACUUUCAACAACGGAUCUCUUGGUUCUG
RNAcentral lists this unclassified non-coding RNA (232 nucleotides) under Paraphoma sp. RNAcentral's name for it is "partial contains small subunit ribosomal RNA, internal transcribed spacer 1, and 5.8S ribosomal RNA". The record is from RNAcentral. Lineage: Eukaryota; Fungi; Ascomycota; Dothideomycetes; Pleosporales; Phaeosphaeriaceae. RNAcentral also lists the same sequence under 2 other names.